GACGAACGCUGGCGGCGUGCUUAACACAUGCAAGUCGAACGGAAAGGCGCUGCUUGCAGGGUCCUCGAGUGGCGAACGGGUGAGUAACACGUGGGUGCUCUGCCCUGCACUUCGGGAUAAGCCUGGGAAACGGGGUCUAAUACCCGAUAGGCGCCAUUGUGAGUGUGAUGGUUGGAAAGUUUUUUCGGUGUAGGAUGAGCUCGCGGCCUAUCAGCUUGUUGGUGGGGUAAUGGCCUACCAAGGCGGCGACGGGUAGCCGGCCUGAGAGGGUGGACGGCCACCUUGGGUCUGAGGUACGGCCCAGGCGCCGACUGGUGGCAGCAGUGGGGAAUCUUGCACAAGGGGUGCCAGCCUGAUGCAGCGACGCCGCGUGGUGGAUGACGGUCUUGGGGUUGUAAACUCCUUUCGCUAGGGACGAAGCUUUUUGUGACGGUACCUAGAUAAGAAGCACCGGCUAACUACGUG
RNAcentral lists this ribosomal RNA (465 nucleotides) under uncultured bacterium. RNAcentral's name for it is "partial 16S ribosomal RNA". It matches the Rfam family "Bacterial small subunit ribosomal RNA", at positions 28 to 507 of the family's 1533-position model. The record is from RNAcentral.